RNAcentral lists this ribosomal RNA (483 nucleotides) under uncultured bacterium. Its description in RNAcentral is "partial 16S ribosomal RNA". It matches the Rfam family "Bacterial small subunit ribosomal RNA", at positions 30 to 507 of the family's 1533-position model. The record is from RNAcentral.
UUGAACGCUGGCGGCAGGCCUAACACCUGCCAGUCGAGCGGAUGAAGGGAGCUUGCUCCUGGAUUCAGCGGCGGACGGGUGAGUAAUGCCUAGGAAUCUGCCUGGUAGUGGGGGAUAACGUCCGGAAACGGGCGCUAAUACCGCAUACGUCCUGAGGGAGAAAGUGGGGGAUCUUCGGACCUCACGCUAUCAGAUGAGCCUAGGUCGGAUUAGCUAGUUGGUGGGGUAAAGGCCUACCAAGGCGACGAUCCGUAACUGGUCUGAGAGGAUGAUCAGUCACACUGGAACUGAGACACGGUCCAGACUCCUACGGGAGGCAGCAGUGGGGAAUAUUGGACAAUGGGCGAAAGCCUGAUCCAGCCAUGCCGCGUGUGUGAAGAAGGUCUUCGGAUUGUAAAGCACUUUAAGUUGGGAGGAAGGGCAGUAAGUUAAUACCUUGCUGUUUUGACGUUACCAACAGAAUAAGCACCGGCUAACUUCGUG